UUCGUAGGCGGAUUUGUAAGUCGAAUGUUAAAGACUCCAGCUUAACUGGAGGGAUGUAUUCGAAACUGCUUAUCUAGAGAGUGGAAGAGGCAGAUGGAAUUCUCGGUGUAGGGGUAAUAUCCGUAGAUAUCGAGAAGAACACCAAAGGCGAAGGCAGUCUGCUGGGCCAUUUCUGACGCUGAGGCACGAAAGCGUGGGGAGCGAACAGGAUUAGAUACCCUGGUAGUCC
Molecule: ribosomal RNA, 229 nt
Filed under: uncultured bacterium
Lineage: Bacteria
Description: partial 16S ribosomal RNA
Rfam family: Bacterial small subunit ribosomal RNA
Source: RNAcentral